AUUCCAGCUCCAAUAGCGUAUAUUAAAGUUGUUGCAGUUAAAAAGCUCGUAGUUGGAUUUCUGGUAGAAGUAGCGACCUUGGGUCUUUGACCUAUGAAGCUGCUAUCUUCAACCAUCCUUGAAGAGAUUUAGUUUGGCAUUAAGUUGUCGAACUAAAGAUAUUCAUCUUUUACUGUGAAAAAAUCAGAACGUUCAAAGUAAGCAUUUAGCUUUGAAUGUAUUAGCAUGGAAUAAUGAAAUAGGACUUAGGUACUACUUUGUUGGUUUAUGCACCUAGGUAAUGAUUAAUAGGGAUAGUUGGGGGUAUUCGUAUUCCAAUGUUAGAGGUGAAAUUCUUGGAUUUUUGGAAGACGAACAACUGCGAAAGCAUUUACCAAGGAUGUUUUCAUCG
This 391-nucleotide ribosomal RNA is filed under the name Actinocyclus sp. (in: diatoms). Its description in RNAcentral is "Actinocyclus sp. (in: Bacillariophyta) partial small subunit ribosomal RNA". It matches the Rfam family "Eukaryotic small subunit ribosomal RNA", at positions 582 to 975 of the family's 1831-position model. The record is from RNAcentral. Lineage: Eukaryota; Bacillariophyta; Coscinodiscophyceae; Coscinodiscales; Hemidiscaceae.